AAUCUUGGAUUAUUUGGGUCACUUUUCCAAAAUAGGCCAGCAUCUAGAAAAACAUCUUCCACUUCAGACAGAAUGAAGGUAAAGACAACAUAGCUUUACAAGAGAAAAAUGAGCUGGUUUCAUCACAUGCCUUGAUAGUUGGUCAGCAAAUUUAAUCCAGCCUCUGGCCUCUGUUGAUUCAUUAUAUUCAAAUGAGAUCCUGGAUGAGUACAUAAAUCUGGAUGAAGAACAAUGAAAGUGAAUUCUCUGCCACAUACUUUAUGAUGUUUCAAGUCCCAAGAAAAAAUCUGUCCUGGGCUUCACUGUAAGAUGAGAAUCCUGAGACUCAGUACAACCAAUGCUGUAGAACUGGGGCUGGAGCACUCAGAGAAGUGGAGAUUCAGGUAUAGGGAUCAUGCUGCACCAGAGCUGACAAAUGGAUGCCAAAAGCAAAGAAUCAUCAUAUGUGAAGCCCAAAAGUAUUAUAGAGAUUAUCUAGAUCCAAAACCGUAUUCUUCAGAAGAAGAAAUGAAUGCAUGCAGAGAAGAAAUGGAUUGCCCCAAGGUCAGCUAAUGAUAUUGUUGAAAUUGGAAUCUAUGCCUCCCUAACUUUAAAACCAGUUCUCUGUCCACUAAAAUAGAAUACAUGGAAGAUGGUGUGACUCCAGAGGACAUGUAAUUGAAUUCUGAGAUGCUGUCAAAUAUUAAGAAUGAAUAGUUGCAAGCUCUUCAUUGAACAAUGACAAAGACACUCAUCUUACUUUUCCUCUGAGAAAUAUCAGACUAGAGACUGGUUUUGCAAGUUUAGCUUCUAAGAUACAAACUCCCGGAACAUAUAAUCUUUUCUUUUACCUCUCUAAGCUGGUCUAAUGCCUAGAGCUUGCAUUAAGUUUAUAGCUACUCUUCUCUGUUAAUUUGAUAAAGAAUAAUAUCUAUUUUAUCCUGAAAUGUUUUUGUCUUCUAGGACAUUUUGCUUACACUUACCAAUACAAUUUGAUUUUGUGGGUGAGAUUCGCUGAGACUUGGGUUAUUAAAGGUUUAUUUCCUGGGGUAAGAAAAGAUUUUCCCCUUCCUUUAAUGAGUGUGGUUGCGAUUAUCUAAGUAGUUUUAGAAGUUAAGAUCGCUGAUGUAUCUGAGAGAAGCCAGCAAUCAUCUGUGUGUUUCAACCUUCAGUUCUUUGGCUCAUAGCCCAUUCUGUGUUUUCCCCAGAUUUUGGUCAGCUUUAGGUAAAAUAUACUGUAUGAUUUUGGAGUCAUGAUAAACUUAUUCUUUUUGAAUAUGAUUUGUGAUGUUACUGACUCUUUGUCUU
Molecule: long non-coding RNA, 1287 nt
Organism: Canis lupus familiaris (dog)
Lineage: Eukaryota; Metazoa; Chordata; Mammalia; Carnivora; Canidae
Exons: 4
Source: RefSeq, a predicted model, not a curated record